This 497-nucleotide ribosomal RNA is filed under the name uncultured bacterium. Its description in RNAcentral is "partial 16S ribosomal RNA". It matches the Rfam family "Bacterial small subunit ribosomal RNA", at positions 28 to 507 of the family's 1533-position model. The record is from RNAcentral.
GACGAACGCUGGCGGCGUGCCUAAUACAUGCAAGUUGAGCGCUGAAGGUUGGUACUUGUACCAACUGGAUGAGCAGCGAACGGGUAAGUAACGCGUGGGGAAUCUGCCUUUGAGCGGGGGACAACAUUUGGAAACGAAUGCUAAUACCGCAUAAAAACUUUAAACACAAGUUUUAAGUUUGAAAGAUGCAAUUGCAUCACUCAAAGAUGAUCCCGCGUUGUAUUAGCUAGUUGGUGAGGUAAAGGCUCACCAAGGCGAUGAUACAUAGCCGACCUGAGAGGGUGAUCGGCCACAUUGGGACUGAGACACGGCCCAAACUCCUACGGGAGGCAGCAGUAGGGAAUCUUCGGCAAUGGACGAAAGUCUGACCGAGCAACGCCGCGUGAGUGAAGAAGGGUUUCGGAUCGUAAAACUCUGUUGGUAGAGAAGAACGUUGGUGAGAGUGGAAAGCUCAUCAAGUGACGGUAACUACCCAGAAAGGGACGGCUAACUACGUG